RNAcentral lists this ribosomal RNA (492 nucleotides) under uncultured bacterium. Its description in RNAcentral is "partial 16S ribosomal RNA". It matches the Rfam family "Bacterial small subunit ribosomal RNA", at positions 29 to 507 of the family's 1533-position model. The record is from RNAcentral.
AGUGAACGCUGGCGGUAGGCCUAACACAUGCAAGUCGAACGGCAGCACAGUAAGAGCUUGCUCUUACGGGUGGCGAGUGGCGGACGGGUGAGGUAUACAUCGGAAUCUACUUUUUCGUGGGGGAUAACGUAGGGAAACUUACGCUAAUACCGCAUACGACCUACGGGUGAAAGCAGGGGAUCUUCGGACCUUGCGCGAUUGAAUGAGCCGAUGUCGGAUUAGCUAGUUGGCGGGGUAAAGGCCCACCAAGGCGACGAUCCGUAGCUGGUCUGAGAGGAUGAUCAGCCACACUGGAACUGAGACACGGUCCAGACUCCUACGGGAGGCAGCAGUGGGGAAUAUUGGACGAUGGGCGCAAGCCUGAUCCAGCCAUACCGCGUGGGUGCAGAAGGCCUUCGGGUUGUAAAGCCCUUUUGUUGGGAAAGAAAAGCAGCAGGUUAAUACCCCGCUGUUCUGACGGUACCCAAAGAAUAAGCACCGGCUAACUUCGUG